AGAGAGAGACAUGCGCGCAUAUCAAUAAGCGGAGGAAAAGAAACUAACAAGGAUUCCCCUAGUAACGGCGAGUGAAGCGGGAAGAGCUCAAAUUUGAAAUCUUAAAGGGUUUCCCUUUACGAAUUGUAGUUUAAAGAAGUGUUUUCUGUUGAGGUUUUGGUAAAAGUUCUUUGGAAUAGGACAUCAUAGAGGGUGAGAAUCCCGUAUUUGACCUUUACUUUCAACUUUGUGAUACACUUUCAAAGAGUCGGAUUGUUUGGGAAUGCAGUCCAAAAUGGGUGGUAAAUUUCAUCUAAAGCUAAAUAUUGGCGAGAGACCGAUAGCGAACAAGUACCGUGAGGGAAAGAUGAAAAGAACUUUGAAAAGAGAGUUAAACAGUACGUGAAAUUGUCAAAAGGGAAGCGUUUGACACCAGUGUUGUUUUUUCUGAAAAUCAAUUAAAGAACUGUUUAUGCUAAGCUGUUUAGACUUUAUCAGCUAUCUGUUUAGUUUUGAGCUUUUCUUUAAUACACUUUUCAGUUAACAAGUCAACAUCAAUUUCUUUUGCUGUAAAAAAGCUUGAGGAAGGUGGCUUGAGAUUCGUCUUAAGUGUUUAUAGCCUCUUGCCUAUGCAGUCGGAGAGAUUGAGGUCUGCAGCGUAGAUCCUUCGGGGCUAAAUGCAUUUGUGCUAAGUUAUAGCAUUUUAUAGACAACUUGUUGACUAUGAUUUGUCUUGUAGCUUACUCGCUUAUGUUAUUUUACCUACGCUUAGGAUGUUGACGCAUGAGAUAUACGC
This 775-nucleotide ribosomal RNA is filed under the name uncultured Neocallimastigales. Its description in RNAcentral is "partial large subunit ribosomal RNA". It matches the Rfam family "Eukaryotic large subunit ribosomal RNA", at positions 23 to 647 of the family's 3401-position model. Lineage: Eukaryota; Fungi; Neocallimastigomycota; Neocallimastigomycetes; Neocallimastigales. The record is from RNAcentral.